Molecule: long non-coding RNA, 741 nt
Filed under: Homo sapiens (human)
Lineage: Eukaryota; Metazoa; Chordata; Mammalia; Primates; Hominidae
Description: non-protein coding lnc-PACRG-2:1
Source: RNAcentral
CAAUGAGGGGCAGAGAAUUAUGGUCAUUUUUGAAAUCAGUCUACCUCAGUCAACAAAAGCAGGUUCUUUUAAAACACUUUUGAAGACAGAUCAAGAGAAAGGAAGAUACAGGUAACCAGUCAAGAAUAAAAAAAUGAGACAUCGUUUCAGAUCUUAUUGGUAUUAAAAAUAAAUUAGGCAUCUAUUUUAAAUCAACAAAUUUGAAAAUUUAGACAAAAUGGAUACAACUUAAAAAUUGACAUACGAAGGAAUAGAAAGUCUGAAUCCAUAAUUUAAAACUUUCUGUAGUGAAAUCUCUAGGCUCAGGUAGCUUCACCAGUGAAUUUUAUUCAUUAUUUAAGGAAGAAAUAACAGCCAUAUACAAGCCUAUCUGGAGAGUGGAAAAAGGAGGAAUACAUUCCAACAUGUUUUGCUACCAGAAUAACCUUGAUACCAAAACCUGAGACGUGUAUUAUGAGAAAGAAAAAUUGUGGGCCAGUUCUAUUUAUGAAUGGACAUUUCUUAAAAAAAAAAAUCACCAGAAUGCCAGGAAACAAUUUGCUCAAGUUGAUUUUGCAUUAAAUUGGUUUAACAUUUGAAGUUGAAAUUGAAUUUGAAAUUAAAUUUGAAGUUGAAGUUGGUUAACAUUUGCAGUUGAAAUCCACUGCAAUAACAGAAUUAAGGAGAAAUGUUGUUUUAAUAGAUAGUGAAAAAUGAUAAAUUUAGAUAUCCACUUGUAGUUGGGAACUCUUAGCAAACUAA